UAGGUGCCCCCGUCCGCGCUCCGCUCUCCCGGCCAACCUUUCCCGUCCACGCCUUAAGGAGCGUUGGCGACGGCGCGCCCGCGUCGUCGCGUUCGCGGCGGUGGAGGGAGCGAGCGCGGAGGAGGGAGGGAGGGAGGGAGGGCCUAAGGGGAGGAAGGGGCUCCGCUGCGCCGGCGGGGUUUAGGUCGGGGAGGCGAAGGGGCGCGGCCGAGCGAGGGAGUUUAUGCGAGGACGGGCGAGCCUCCUCUCCCAGACGGAGAGAGGACAGAGAACCGCCCUGUCCUACUACCCGCCCGGCUCGCGCUCGCCGCCGUCGUCCGCCGCCUCCACCCGCGUCGCCAGCACGGCCCGCCCUCCCCGCCCGCCCCAGCAGUGCGCCUACCACCGCCGCGGCCUCCUCGCGCCGCGCUCGCGCCGAGGGGCCGCCUCGCGAUGUCCCAAACGAGUACACCUGUUCGUCGUCGCACAGAUACCUGGUAAUAGUAGUCUCCCAAGGUCUUCAUCGUCACCUAGGUGUUAUUAUUUUCUAAAAGAAGUAAGCCUAAAUACACUUAUGUUCGCAUUCUCCAGGAACUCUUUACUUUAUCCUUCGGUGGUAAGAGAUAGAAGACACUACAAUCUUAGUUCCUUAGUACCACGUCGUUGAGUUUACGGUUAUCGAAGACUUUUUGGAAGGAAAAGCACCGGUUGUCUCUUCGUUCAGAGGUCAUUGUUGUUGAAAGAAGGACACUGGUCAUGACAGAGCCUAAUACCCAACAGGAUAGCCGGAUUUACAGUAGAACCGUCUCCGUCAUUGUUCCGUUUAGUCUGACCUUGUGGUUUUCUUAGGUCACCGUACACGUCAAAGUCAAUAGUUAAUCGAUCUUCACGACCUUCUAGACUAAGAUACUUCUACCCGGCUCGUUCACGUUUCACGAGGGAACGUCUGUGUUACAGCUACAAUGCGGUUGCCGCGAAACCAGCGUCAAUGGUCUUAGUUUUGGCGUAACCACGUAAUUUAGCUUCCGUAUUCUUGUGUGUUAGACCACCUCGUUAGUUGUACCAUUUUUUUCUCCUUUGAAUAUUACUCAGACUAAACAGUUGUCCUUCUGUGACCGUUUGAAACAACCUAUUACGUAAUCAAGCUUCCUCUAAUGUCGGUGAGUUACUCCUUAGUAGACUUGUUGAUACCUCGACAUGUUUGUCACUUAGACUGUUCCGCUAUUCGAAAAGCAGUCCACCCUCGUAACUACCAAACGUUCAUAGAAAAAGUUCACUGUGCUCACUGUGUUCACUAUUGAGGUUAAAUAGGAGAGACCCACGUCACCGUUUACUAGUUACCUCCUACAGGAAGUUCUUCCAUGUGACAGGUGAACGACGUGCAUAUUUGAUAUAGGGGGUUCGAAGGACGUUUCUCUAACUCGUCCGUUCGGGUCAUAGGCAAGAACUUAUAGGUCGACUUCUAAAAAGGCUAUGACUUUUGUAAUUCUUUCUAUGUUUUCUAGGAGUACGAGGGGUCGGUUCCGGACUCGAGCAUAUGAAAGGAAGUCGUCUUUGACAACGACUCCAUCAACACCUACGACGUGAACCAUUAAUGAGCACGAGACUCUACCUCAGAUGACUUGUACUACUUUGAUAUGUCGACCAUCUUCUGUGGGGAACGCUUAAACUUCUGCUUCUCCUUUCUCUCAAGACGAUGAACGACCUGUAAGAUUAACGAAGACCAUAAGUACCGCAACUCCUCCUAGUCGACAUGUUCCACACGGUCAGGGAACUAACGGGACGUCCGAUGCUGCACAAACUGUUCGAACUCUUCUUUAUGUUUUUUCACCGAGUUACCAGCUCCCGUCUGUCCUUCGAGUGGAAGCUGUACCAUUUGAGGUAUGACAGCCUUUAAGAACGGGGUACAAACCUGUACGUGGGAACCCGUUGAUGACGUUCCUUAUACCGCGGUCGCACCCCGAGUCUCCCGGACAACCUCUUUAACAACGUCCACAACUGAGCCGCCGCUCUUCUUGAACGCGGUUCUCACGUAUUCUUCCUCUUUGUUCACAAUUUAGUCUUUACCGGUCUGAACCGUCUAAUGUAGCUGUCCCGUCCAUCCCUACAACUCUCCUACUAUUUCCUACUAGAAGACCUUCUCGACCAAGACCUCAACUACAGGUCGAUCAACGUUUCGGAUGACGACCUCAACGACAGUCGAAAGAAUCCGGGUUCCUCCAAUGUUUCAACGACAUCCUCACAUCCAGUAACGAAAGACACAAUCCAGUCCAACUAGUAACCAACAUGACUCAUAAACAAAGAAACAAGGAAUUCCAGUCUCAAGGGGGAUAAAAACAAUUUGUUCACCAACUGUGAUAAAAAAACCCAGCUCAGCGGCACGAACAACAUCGUAUAAUAAACUCUUCUACGAACGACAUCCUAUAUCCCAUAUACCCUGUUCUUCACCACACCAGACAAUCCAAUCCACUCCCUCCGUGUAUCAACUUUAAGUAAGAACCAUGGUUUUCCCUCGCUUUACACCCUCUCAACAAAGGGGGAAAAAACCUAAAACAGUCAACAAUGUUAAGACAUUUAGUCCAGCCAGUCAUAUCAGUACUUGUAAAUAUAAGAAUAGGAAAACAAUAACGCAUGUGCUCUUUAUUUUGAGCAUCUAUUUUCAUCUCGCAUAUACAAAG
This 2657-nucleotide ribosomal RNA is filed under the name Triticum aestivum (bread wheat). RNAcentral's name for it is "partial small subunit ribosomal RNA". The record is from RNAcentral. Lineage: Eukaryota; Viridiplantae; Streptophyta; Magnoliopsida; Poales; Poaceae.